Molecule: ribosomal RNA, 501 nt
Filed under: uncultured bacterium
Lineage: Bacteria
Description: bacterial SSU rRNA
Rfam family: Bacterial small subunit ribosomal RNA
Source: RNAcentral
GAUUAACGCUGGCGGUAUGCCUAAUACAUGCAAGUCGAACGAACUAUUUAUAGUUAGUGGCGAACGGGUGAGUAACACGUAUCCAAUCUACACUUAAGUUGGGGAUAACCAGUUGAAAAGCUGGCUAAUACCGAAUGUGAUUAUUUUUUGGCAUCAAGAAAUAAUUAAAGUCGCGUUUGCGACGCUUUUGGAUGAGGGUGCGGCAUAUCAGGUAGUUGGUGAGGUAAUGGCUCACCAAGCCGAUGACGUGUAGCUGUACUGAGAGGUAGAACAGCCACAAUGGGACUGAGACACGGCCCAUACUCCUACGGGAGGCAGCAGUAGGGAAUCUUUCACAAUGGACGAAAGUCUGAUGGAGCAAUACCGCGUGGAUGAUGAAGGUCAUAAAGAUUGUAAAAUCCUUUUAUAAGAGAAGAAAAAAUAAGAUAGGAAAUGAUCUUAUUCUGACGGUAUCUUUUGAAUAAGUAACGGCUAACUAUGUGCCAGCAGCCGCGGUAAUAC